AGAGUUUGAUCAUGGCUCAGGACGAACGCUGGCGGCGUGCCUAACACAUGCAAGUCGAACGGGGUCGUACUUGGUGGCAACACCUUGUACGGCCUAGUGGCGAACGGGUGAGUAACACGUGAGGAACCUGCCCCGAAGACCGGGAUAACAGAAGGAAACUUCUGCUAAUACCGGAUACCCCCACCGAAUCGCAUGGUUUGGUGAGGAAAUGGAUUCCGCUUCGGGAGGGCCUCGCGGCCUAUCAGCUAGUUGGUGGGGUAACGGCCUACCAAGGCAUCGACGGGUAGCUGGUCUGAGAGGACGAUCAGCCACACUGGGACUGAGACACGGCCCAGACUCCUACGGGAGGCAGCAGUGGGGAAUCUUGCGCAAUGGGCGAAAGCCUGACGCAGCAACGCCGCGUGCGGGAUGAAGGCCCUCGGGUUGUAAACCGCUUUCAGCAGGGACGAAGAUGACGGUACCUGCAGAAGAAGCCCCGGCCAACUACGUGCCAGCAGCCGCGGUAACACGUAGGGGGCGAGCGUUGUCCGGAUUUAUUGGGCGUAAAGAGCUCGUAGGCGGUUCCGUCAGUCGGGUGUGAAAACUCUGGGCUCAACCCAGAGACGCCACCCGAUACUGCGGUGACUAGAGUCCGGUAGGGGAGUGCGGAAUUCCUGGUGUAGCGGUGAAAUGCGCAGAUAUCAGGAGGAACACCAACGGCGAAGGCAGCACUCUGGGCCGGUACUGACGCUGAGGAGCGAAAGCGUGGGGAGCGAACAGGAUUAGAUACCCUAGUAGUCC
RNAcentral lists this ribosomal RNA (780 nucleotides) under uncultured bacterium. RNAcentral describes it as "bacterial SSU rRNA". It matches the Rfam family "Bacterial small subunit ribosomal RNA", at positions 8 to 796 of the family's 1533-position model. The record is from RNAcentral.